RNAcentral lists this small nucleolar RNA (77 nucleotides) under Ectocarpus siliculosus. The record is from RNAcentral. Lineage: Eukaryota; Phaeophyceae; Ectocarpales; Ectocarpaceae.
UUGCAGAUGAUGUGACAUGCAAUGUAUCCCUAUCACCAGUGAGGAUCAAUUUGCGAGCUUUUUAACACUGAUGCAAG